CAUGGGUUGUUCAGCUGACUGUCCAGCUUUCUGCUGAAAGGCAGGUACAAAUGUCAAGGCUGGACACACUGGAGAGAGGGAGGCCAGCAUGAGAAGACAGAGAACAGCACUGAUACAAAACCCAACCAAAUUCAAAGAGUGUCUCCUCAGUGCUGCCAUGACAAGUUUUCAUUCCUGUGAUCAGAAUGAUUCAAAGAAGGCUGAUUGCCAUCCAAAGUGUGACUCCGAAAAAGCAGCUAAUCAUGACCGGCAGUAAUGUGCAGAACCUCUGUGACGAAGGAAGCCCUGAAGAAUAAAAGUCUAGGACAAGGUGGCAAGUCAUCCAGGACAGUGCAGACUGCUAUGACACCAGUGACACAUCUCCCUGUCCCAGCAGCACUGCAAAGACAAGCCAUUCUCCUCCCUGAAGUUCAGUGUACCUCAGCCAGGGAGCCACAAGCCAGGAAAGCCAUCCUCUGCUGGAAGAGUGUCUGUCUGGUCCCAGCAGGUCUCCUGUCAUCUCUCUGAGGCCCAGUCUCAGGUCUCUUCAGCUCACCUUCUGAUCCUGUUUCUUUGGAAAAGCAGCCCAUCCUGCAGCUAGCACAACCAGGCAUCCACCCUGAGGAGCCAAAAUUCACUAGAGGCUCUGGCACCACUUCCCUGUUUCUAGAAGAGUCACUGCAACCCCUGUUUGUGUUCAACCUCCUCGUCUGUCAUCUCACAAACUCGAGCCACACGUGGAGCAAGGUGGGCCACUGUCAGCUGCUGCAGAGUCAAGCAUGGAGAGUAAGCAGCUACUGUUCUGAUACUUAUGGGGAAAGUAAAAUCUCAAAGUCUUGAGGUCCUGGAUUUCCCAAUACAUAAAUGAAACAACUCUGUGGCUUCAGGCUCACACGGUUUUCCAGCAUGCCUUGAUCUUAGCAGGAUCAUGGGUCUGACCAGCUUCUGCAUUCAUUCCCACAGCUGCCAGCCUUGCUGUUGCAUUUUAGCAAAGAAAACGUGGCUGUAGCAUUUGAAGGGGAUCCAAUGGGUGUAGAAAUAUGCUCCAAGGAUUUACUGACUACCCAAAGUUUGAGUUCACCAAUAUGACCCACCCCAAGCUUUAAAAAUCUUGGAAAUGUAUUGGAAAAGUGAUGAGGUUGAAAUAAAAUCAUCAAAUGUAAAGAUAAUAA
Molecule: long non-coding RNA, 1151 nt
Organism: Melospiza melodia melodia
Lineage: Eukaryota; Metazoa; Chordata; Aves; Passeriformes; Passerellidae
Exons: 5
Source: RefSeq, a predicted model, not a curated record